GUAGGUGGCAAGCGUUGUCCGGAAUUAUUGGACGUAAAGCGCGCGCAGGUGGUUCGUUUAAGUCUGAUGUGAAAGACCCCCGGGCUCAACCGGGGAGGGUCAUUGGAAACUGGGGAACUUGAGUGCAGGAGAGGAAAGUGGAAUUCCACGUGUAGCGGUGAAAUGCGUAGAUAUGUGGAGGAACACCAGUGGCGAAGGCGACUUUCUGGCCUGUAACUGACACUGAGGCGCGAAAGCGUGGGGAGCAAACAGGAUUAGAUACCCUGGUAGUCCACGCCGUAAACGAUGAGUGCUAAGUGUUGGGGGGUUUCCGCCCCUCAGUGCUGCAGCUAACGCAUUAAGCACUCCGCCUGGGGAGUACGGUCGCAAAGACUG
This 375-nucleotide ribosomal RNA is filed under the name uncultured organism. RNAcentral describes it as "partial 16S ribosomal RNA". It matches the Rfam family "Bacterial small subunit ribosomal RNA", at positions 527 to 896 of the family's 1533-position model. The record is from RNAcentral.